Molecule: ribosomal RNA, 84 nt
Filed under: Ferula feruloides
Lineage: Eukaryota; Viridiplantae; Streptophyta; Magnoliopsida; Apiales; Apiaceae
Also listed under: 10 other names
Description: partial 5.8S ribosomal RNA
Rfam family: 5.8S ribosomal RNA
About the family: 5.8S ribosomal RNA (5.8S rRNA) is a component of the large subunit of the eukaryotic ribosome.
Source: RNAcentral
UGCAGAAUCCCGUGAACCAUCGAGUCUUUGAACGCAAGUUGCGCCCGAAGCCAUUAGGCUGAGGGCACGUCUGCCUGGGUGUCA